Molecule: ribosomal RNA, 439 nt
Filed under: Streptomyces scabiei
Lineage: Bacteria; Bacillati; Actinomycetota; Actinomycetes; Kitasatosporales; Streptomycetaceae
Description: bacterial SSU rRNA
Rfam family: Bacterial small subunit ribosomal RNA
Source: RNAcentral
GUUCUGUGUUGCCAGCAUGCCCUUCGGGGUGAUGGGGACUCACAGGAGACUGCCGGGGUCAACUCGGAGGAAGGUGGGGACGACGUCAAGUCAUCAUGCCCCUUAUGUCUUGGGCUGCACACGUGCUACAAUGGCAGGUACAAUGAGCUGCGAAGCCGUGAGGCGGAGCGAAUCUCAAAAAGCCUGUCUCAGUUCGGAUUGGGGUCUGCAACUCGACCCCAUGAAGUCGGAGUUGCUAGUAAUCGCAGAUCAGCAUUGCUGCGGUGAAUACGUUCCCGGGCCUUGUACACACCGCCCGUCACGUCACGAAAGUCGGUAACACCCGAAGCCGGUGGCCCAACCCGUAAGGGAGGGAGCUGUCGAAGGUGGGACUGGCGAUUGGGACGAAGUCGUAACAAGGUAGCCGUACCGGAAGGUGCGGCUGGAUCACCUCCUUUCU